CGCUAUGCAUGCAGUCGAACGGGCGAAGGGGCUUCGGCCCCCUAGCUAGUGGCAGACGGCUGAGUAAUACGUAAGUGAUCUACCCCGGAGAGGGGGAUAAGCCGAAGAAAUCCGGUCUAAUACCCCGUACGCUCCCUCUAUUACGGUAGAGAGAGGAAAGUUCCGGCGCUCUGGGAGGAGCUUGCGGCCUAUCAUGGUAGUUGGUGGGGUAAAAGCCUACCAAGCCGAAGACGGGUAACCGGUGUGAGAGCACGAUAGGUCAGAGGGGGACUGAGACACGGCCCCCACUCCUACGGGAGGCAGCAGCAGGGAAUCUUGCGCAAUGGGCGAAAGCCUGACGCAGCGACACCGCGUGGGGGAUGAAGGCUCUCGAGUUGUAAACCCCUUUUCUCGGGGAAGAGACAGGACGGUACCCGAGGAAUAAGGUUCGGCUAACUACGUGCCAGCAGCCGCGGUAAUACGUAGGAACCGAGCGUUGUCCGGAUUUACUGGGCGUAAAGUGCGCGUAGGCGGUUCGUUAAGUCUCAUGUGAAAUCUCCCGGCUCAACUGGGAGGGGUCAUGGGAUACUGGCAGACUUGAGUACAGCAGAGGGGAGUGGAAUUCCCGGAGUAGUGGUGGAAUGCGUAGAUACCGGGAGGAACACCAGAGGCGAAGGCGACUCCCUGGGCUGUGUCUGACGCUGAGGCGCGAAAGCGUGGGUAGCAAACCGGAUUAGAUACCCGGGUAGUCCACGCCCUAAACGAUGGAUACUAGGUAUGGGGGGGUAUCGACCCCCUCCGUGCCGCAGCUAACGCAUUAAGUAUCCCGCCUGAGGAGUACGGCCGCAAGGCUAAAACUCAAAGGAAUUGACGGGGACCCGCACAAGCAGCGGAUCGUGUGGUUUAAUUCGAUGAUAAGCGAAGAACCUUACCAGGGCUUGAAAUGCAUCCGACAGGCUGGGAAACCAGCCCUUCCUUCGGGACGGUUGC
This 969-nucleotide ribosomal RNA is filed under the name uncultured bacterium. Its description in RNAcentral is "bacterial SSU rRNA". It matches the Rfam family "Bacterial small subunit ribosomal RNA", at positions 47 to 1033 of the family's 1533-position model. The record is from RNAcentral.